This 611-nucleotide ribosomal RNA is filed under the name Burkholderia sp. Mb1. RNAcentral's name for it is "bacterial SSU rRNA". It matches the Rfam family "Bacterial small subunit ribosomal RNA", at positions 51 to 660 of the family's 1533-position model. The record is from RNAcentral. Lineage: Bacteria; Pseudomonadati; Pseudomonadota; Betaproteobacteria; Burkholderiales; Burkholderiaceae.
UCACGGUCAGGUCAACGGCAGCACGGGUGCUUGCACCUGGUGGCGAGUGGCGAACGGGUGAGUAAUACAUCGGAACAUGUCCUGUAGUGGGGGAUAGCCCGGCGAAAGCCGGAUUAAUACCGCAUACGAUCUACGGAUGAAGGCGGGGGACCUUCGGGCCUCGCGCUAUAGGGUUGGCCGAUGGCUGAUUAGCUAGUUGGUGGGGUAAAGGCCUACCAAGGCGACGAUCAGUAGCUGGUCUGAGAGGACGACCAGCCACACUGGGACUGAGACACGGCCCAGACUCCUACGGGAGGCAGCAGUGGGGAAUUUUGGACAAUGGGCGAAAGCCUGAUCCAGCAAUGCCGCGUGUGUGAAGAAGGCCUUCGGGUUGUAAAGCACUUUUGUCCGGAAAGAAAUCCUUGGCUCUAAUACAGUCGGGGGAUGACGGUCCCGGAAGAAUAAGCACCGGCUAACUACGUGCCAGCAGCCGCGGUAAUACGUAGGGUGCGAGCGUUAAUCGGAAUUACUGGGGGUAAAGCGCGCGCAGCGGUUUGCUAAAACGAUGUGAAAUCCCCGGGCUCAACCUGGGAACUGCAUUGUGACUGGCAGCUAAAGUAUGCCAAAGGGGG